This 468-nucleotide ribosomal RNA is filed under the name uncultured bacterium. RNAcentral describes it as "partial 16S ribosomal RNA". It matches the Rfam family "Bacterial small subunit ribosomal RNA", at positions 28 to 507 of the family's 1533-position model. The record is from RNAcentral.
GACGAACGCUGGCGGCGUGCUUAACACAUGCAAGUCGAACGGAAAGGCCCUGCUUUUGUGGGGUGCGCGAGUGGCGAACGGGUGAGUAACACGUGAGUAACCUGCCCUUGACUUUGGGAUAACUUCAGGAAACUUGGGGUAAUACCGGAUAGGAGCUCCUGCUGCUGGGUGGGCGUUGGAAAGUUUCGGCGGUUGGGGAUGGACUCGCGGCUUAUAAGCUUGUUGGUGGGGUAGUGGCUUACCAAGGCUUUGACGGGUAGCCGGCCUGAGAGGGUGACCGGCCACAUUGGGACUGAGCUGCGGCACAGACUCCUACGGGAGGCAGCAGUGCGGAAGAUUGCACAAUGGGCGGAAGCAUGAUGCAGCACCGCAGCGUGCGGGAUGACGGCCUUGGGGUUGUAGACCGCUUUCGGCUGAGACGAAGCGUGAGUGACGGUAAUGGGUAAAGAAGCACCGGCUAACUACGUG